This 496-nucleotide ribosomal RNA is filed under the name uncultured bacterium. RNAcentral's name for it is "bacterial SSU rRNA". It matches the Rfam family "Bacterial small subunit ribosomal RNA", at positions 28 to 515 of the family's 1533-position model. The record is from RNAcentral.
GAUGAACGCUAGCGGCAGGCUUAAUACAUGCAAGUCGUGGGGCAGCAGGUUUGUAGCAAUACAGAUGCUGGCGACCGGCAAACGGGUGCGGAACACGUACAGAACCUUCCUUUGAGCGGGGAAUAGCCCAGAGAAAUUUGGAUUAAUACCCCAUAGUAUAAUGAAGUGGCAUCACUUUAUUAUUAAAGAUUUAUCACUCGAAGAUGGCUGUGCGGCUGAUUAGGUAGUUGGCGGGGUAAAGGCCCACCAAGCCUGCGAUCAGUAACUGGUGUGAGAGCACGACCAGUCACACGGGCACUGAGACACGGGCCCGACUCCUACGGGAGGCAGCAGUAAGGAAUAUUGGUCAAUGGAGGCAACUCUGAACCAGCCAUGCCGCGUGGAGGAUGAAGGUCCUCUGGAUUGUAAACUUCUUUUAUAUGGGACGAAAAAAGGCUUUUCUAAGUCGUCUGACGGUACCAUAUGAAUAAGCACCGGCUAACUCCGUGCCAGCACG